RNAcentral lists this ribosomal RNA (305 nucleotides) under uncultured bacterium. RNAcentral describes it as "bacterial SSU rRNA". It matches the Rfam family "Bacterial small subunit ribosomal RNA", at positions 335 to 637 of the family's 1533-position model. The record is from RNAcentral.
CUUCCUACGGGAGGCAGCAGUGAGGAAUAUUGGUCAAUGGGCGAGAGCCUGAACCAGCCAAGUCGCGUGAAGGAUGACGGCCCUAUGGGUUGUAAACUUCUUUUGUCAGGGAGCAAUUGGGUCCACGUGUGGGCUUAGCGAGAGUACCUGAAGAAAAAGCAUCGGCUAACUCCGUGCCAGCAGCCGCGGUAAUACGGAGGAUGCGAGCGUUAUCCGGAUUUAUUGGGUUUAAAGGGUGCGUAGGCGGAAUGCCAAGUCAGCGGUAAAAUCGCGGGGCUCAACCUCGCUCCGCCGUUGAAACUGGC